Molecule: ribosomal RNA, 185 nt
Filed under: uncultured bacterium
Lineage: Bacteria
Description: partial 16S ribosomal RNA
Rfam family: Bacterial small subunit ribosomal RNA
Source: RNAcentral
UACAUGAAGCUGGAAUCGCUAGUAAUCGCGAAUCAGAAUGUCGCGGUGAAUACGUUCCCGGGUCCUUGUACACACCGCCCGUCACACCAUGGGGUCGGGGAAUGCCCGAAGUCAGUGACCCAACCGGAAGGAGGGAGCUGCCGAAGGCAGGCUCGAUAACUGGGGUGAAGUCGUAACAAGGUAUC